AACAUCACAACCAAUUUCACUACUUUGUAGCCUAAAUGCUCUCCCUCUGAAACAAUAACCUCUCACUCCCUCGAAAACCUCUCAACCUUCAGUUGAAAUGAAAAAGAGGAAUAAGCCGCGAACAAACUAUGUUUAUGCCUCUAUACCAACGCAGCGGAUGCUCUUCGACAAAGAAAUAUUGAACUCGAAAAAGUUAAUUUUAUGGAUACUCCUAUGCCAAGCAAAGUCUGCGAAAAACAAGGAUCGGAUCCAACACAGUAUCAUCCGACAAAAGGUCGGAUCGACAAAUCCAAUAGUAUUUCAUGUCAUAAAAUGGUGUCAUUAGUUGAAAUAGCAAAGGAAAAUGUCAUGAAUCAAGCGAACAAGACGCUAUGCAGACAAUCUUUGGCAAAAGUUUAUCCUACAAGAAGAGGAUGAGAUCUGGUCCGAGACCACAAAAUACCAAAGAGGUGGCUGAGAUCUGGUCCGAGACCAUAAAGUUAAAAAAGGUGGUUGAGAUCUCGUCCAAGAACACAAAAUAAAAUAGAGGUGGUUGAGAUCUGGUCUAAGACGACAAAGUAAAAAAGAGGUGGCUGAGAUAUGGUUCGAGACCACAAAGUAAAAAAGAGGUGGCUGAGAUACUCCCAAGAGUAUGUUCAGACUUUGGAAGCUCGACUUGCAAAAACUUAAGAAUCACUAUAGAGUGAACGACAUGAAUUCUUAGAGCCACAACGUUUGGCGGCUGAACUUUGGUGAAGUUCUUUCCUUAAUAUUGUUAUUGGAUCUUGAGUGCAUUGGGAGGUAUGGUGCCUAAUGUGAAAUUUGAUUUAGACUUUGUUGGAGCUUUUGUUUUUUGUGCCUGGUGCGUCUUAUGUUUGUUGUUGGAGUUUGAAACAUUUGGAUGUGGAGUUUGUUAUAGAGUUUGUUGUUGCAGUUGGAGAAUUAUGUUUUGUGUUCCAUGUAAGUUUAUUGUUGGAGCUUGAGAAAUAUAUUUUUGCUCUGGUGGAUGUGAAGUUUGUUGCCAUAGGUUGAAAUUUUGAACGUGCCUUA
This is a long non-coding RNA of Momordica charantia (bitter melon), 1029 nucleotides long. RefSeq lists it as uncharacterized. The record is from RefSeq and is a predicted model, not a curated record. Lineage: Eukaryota; Viridiplantae; Streptophyta; Magnoliopsida; Cucurbitales; Cucurbitaceae.